CGGAAGUAGGAGCCAUUGCCCCUCGGACGGCUGUAGUCAUUAUCCAGGUUGCUUCCCCUGCCCAAACUCUGACCACCCAGGCGUCCCCUUAGGCCCUCGGAUUGGUAUCCGCCUCUGCCUCUUCCUUGUCCUGGCAUUCAUUCAAAGAAAGUGUCAAAUGCAGAAGUAACGAUGAUUUAUAAGCAAAAUCUUAUCUUCAUGUUCUCCAAAAAGAUACUCGUCAAACAUAAUCAAGAUUUUAGCUGUUCCAAAUUUACAAGCACUUGCAGAGAAAUGUCACUCAAACCCCAAACAUCACUUUAACAGUUUAAUUGUGACAUCACCAAUAUCUCUAUUUCUAUCUCCAAAUGAACAGGAACUUAUAUUGCGAACCAAUUUUAUUGCACAUACCCACUCACCUGUAAACUAUAGUUACCCCAUAAAAUCUAUACUCUCACUCUGAAACACACAAACCCUACAAAUAGUCUGAGAGACCAAGCCUGCACACAGAUGGUGAAGAUGCUGCAAAAGACUCAUCUCUAAGCAAAACCUCUAGGAUAACAUAAAAAUCAUGAACAUUAAAAAGCCGAAUACACCAAGCAAUGCAGACACUUUCAUAACAAGACCAGGGAAUCAAGUAAUAUUUUUUCUAUUUCACGUAGGUCCUUUUGAAAAAAUACAUGCGCACAAUUUCAAGAACACUGUUCUUAUUGUAAAGAUCACAAGAACAAACAGACGAAACAACAUGAAUGAAUCACUUUGGCCCUAGCUACCAUCCGCCUAGCAACAGUCACGAGUUCCAUGAUUCAAUUUCUUGGCUUUCAAAUGAAGAACACGUAUCUACGGAGCCCGUGAUUGAGGUUAAGCUGCAUUGUAUUGGUAAUGAAAGACCCGUUGUUUCACCCGAAGAAUAAGAACCUUUGGAGCCCCCAAUCGAGGUUAACCAAUUGGAAUGACCCACAUCUCAACUCAAUCCCAUAGAAAAACCCAGCAAGCCCCAUGCCCCGAUCAGCUUGCCACCAAAGAAGAGGCCAAACCCAGAAACGAGACAAGCGAGAAGGCGUGCCCGCGACACGAUUACUUACCCGGCUGUUACGAAACGCUUAGUUUGCGCUGACUGCGCGGACGAGAGCGACGGAGAUCUAAAAAAGACCGCAGAUUCGCCCAAUCAAAGC
Molecule: long non-coding RNA, 1154 nt
Filed under: Eucalyptus grandis
Lineage: Eukaryota; Viridiplantae; Streptophyta; Magnoliopsida; Myrtales; Myrtaceae
Description: long non-coding RNA (EGRA_LNC007959)
Source: RNAcentral